RNAcentral lists this ribosomal RNA (468 nucleotides) under uncultured bacterium. RNAcentral describes it as "partial 16S ribosomal RNA". It matches the Rfam family "Bacterial small subunit ribosomal RNA", at positions 28 to 507 of the family's 1533-position model. The record is from RNAcentral.
GACGAACGCUGGCGGCGUGCUUAACACAUGCAAGUCGAACGGAAAGGCCCUGCUUUUGUGGGGUGCUCGAGUGGCGAACGGGUGAGUAGCACGUGAGUAACCUGCCCUUGACUUUGGGAUAACUUCAGGAAACUGGGGCUAAUACCGGAUAGGAGCUCCUGCUGCAUGGUGGGGGUUGGAAAGUUUCGGCGGUUGGGGAUGGACUCGCGGCUUAUCAGCUUGUUGGUGGGGUAGUGGCUUACCAAGGCUUUGACGGGUAGCCGGCCUGAGAGGGUGACCGGCCACAUUGGGACUGAGAUACGGCCCAGACUCCUACGGGAGGCAGCAGUGGGGAAUAUUGCACAAUGGGCGGAAGCCUGAUGCAGCAACGCCGCGUGCGGGAGGACGGCCUUCGGGUUGUAAACCGCUUUCGCCGGUGACGAAGCGUGAGUGACGGUAAUGGGUAAAGAAGCACCGGCUAACUACGUG